Molecule: non-coding RNA, 119 nt
Organism: Triticum aestivum (bread wheat)
Lineage: Eukaryota; Viridiplantae; Streptophyta; Magnoliopsida; Poales; Poaceae
Source: Rfam
UAUGUACUCCCUCCGUCCGUUCGGAAUUACUUGUCAUCAAAAUGAAUGUAUCUAGAACUAAAAUAUAUCUAGAUACAUCCAUUUCAAUGACAAGUAUUUUCGGAUGGAGGGAGUAUUCC